CGUAGACGGUUAUUUAAGUCGGAUGUGAAAGCCCCGGGCUCAACCUGGGAAUUGCAUUCGAGACUGAAUAGCUAGGGUGCGGUAGAGGGAAGCGGAAUUUCCGGUGUAGCGGUGAAAUGCGUAGAUAUCGGAAGGAACAUCAGUGGCGAAAGCGGCUUCCUGGACCAGCACCGACGUUCAGGCACGAAAGCGUGGGGAGCAAACA
This 205-nucleotide ribosomal RNA is filed under the name uncultured bacterium. RNAcentral's name for it is "partial 16S ribosomal RNA". It matches the Rfam family "Bacterial small subunit ribosomal RNA", at positions 570 to 774 of the family's 1533-position model. The record is from RNAcentral.